AUGCAUGAAAGAAAUGAAAUAUAUAAGAUUUUCUUUGAACAACAUCCUCUGCUUAAAUACAAUUUGCCUAUUGAAACUCUAAGAGGUUCUCCUCCACCUAAAGGUGAUCCUGUGUUUGAAUUAGAACAAUUGCCAAACACUUUGAAAUAUGCUUAUCUUGAUGAAAAGAAGAUAUAUCCUAUUAUUAUUAGUGCUAACCUUUCAGAACAUGAAGAAGAAAGAUUAUUGAAAGUUCUAAGGAAGCACCGAUCUGCUAUUGGAUAUGCUCUUGAUGAUUUAAAGGGCAUUAGUCCCACUCUAUUUCAGCACAAAAUUAAUAUGAAACCUGAUGCUAAACCCGUUGUUGAUCACCAAUGUCGGUUAAAUCUGAAGAUGAAAGAAGUGGUAAGAACGGAAAUAUUAAAACUUCUGGAAGCAGGUAUACUCUAUCCCAUAGCUGAUAGUAGAUGGGCAAGUCCUGUUCAUUGUGCCCCUAAGAAAGGAGGUAUUACUGUUGUUCCUAAUGAUAAGAAUGAACUUAUUCCACAAAGAAUUGUUAAAGGCUAUAGAAUGGUAAUUGAUUUUAGAAAAUUAAACAAAGUAACUAGAAAAGAUCAUUACCCUCUGCCUUUUAUUGAUCAAAUGCUAGAAAGAUUAUCUAAGCACACACAUUUUUGCUUCCUUGAUGGAUUUCUGGUUUUUCACAAAUACCUGUUUCUCAACCUGAUCAUGAAAAGACCACUUUUACUUGUCCCUUUGGAACUUAUGCUUAUAGACGUAUGCCUUUUGGUUUAUGCAAUGCACCUGCUACCUUUCAAAGAUGUAUGA
RNAcentral lists this ribosomal RNA (807 nucleotides) under Triticum aestivum (bread wheat). Its description in RNAcentral is "partial small subunit ribosomal RNA". The record is from RNAcentral. Lineage: Eukaryota; Viridiplantae; Streptophyta; Magnoliopsida; Poales; Poaceae.